GAUGAACGCUGGCGGCGUGCCUAAUACAUGCAAGUAGAACGCUGAAGGAAGGAGCUUGCUCUUUCCGGGUGAGUUGCGAACGGGUGAGUAACGCGUAGGUAACCUGCCUGGUAGCGGGGGAUAACUAUUGGAAACGAUAGCUAAUACCGCAUAACAGUAGAUGUUGCAUGAUUUCUACUUAAAAGGUGCAAUUGCACCACUACCAGAUGGACCUGCGUUGUAUUAGCUAGUUGGUGAGGUAACGGCUCACCAAGGCGACGAUACAGAGCCGACCUGAGAGGGUGAUCGGCCACACUGGGACUGAGACACGGCCCAGACUCCUACGGGAGGCAGCAGUAGGGAAUCUUCGGCAAUAGACGGAAGUCUGACCGAGCAACGCCGCGUGAGUGAAGAAGGUUUUCGGAUCGUAAAGCUCUGUUGUAAGAGAAGAACGAGUGUGAGAGUGGAAAGUUCACACUGUGACGGUAUCUUACCAGAAAGGGACGGCUAACUACGUG
This 497-nucleotide ribosomal RNA is filed under the name uncultured bacterium. Its description in RNAcentral is "partial 16S ribosomal RNA". It matches the Rfam family "Bacterial small subunit ribosomal RNA", at positions 28 to 507 of the family's 1533-position model. The record is from RNAcentral.